CUUUGGAACUUUGAGCUAGAAGAGCCAUUGGGUGUUAAGGGAUCUGGAGCCUAGAAGACAAGGUGUGUGCUACAAAGGGCAGAUCUGGAGAAGUGACCCAAGCCCUUGGAGGAGCCUAGAAGAUUGUAAGUGGAUCCCAGACAUUGGAUGGUUGGAGUUUGAUUUUGCUUUUGAUUGUGACUGUGCCCUGAUAUUUUUCCCUCUUGAAGGAAGACAGUAUUCUAGUGGACUCCACAGUUAAGAGACUUUGAAUUUUAAAAAGACUUUGAAUUUUAAAAGAUAUUGUGUAUUUUAAAUGGAUUGAACUUUUAAUAUAUAAAGACUGUGUGACUCUUAAAGUUAUUUAGAUCUUGGGGAUGAAUAAGACAGUAGGGUUGAGGCUUAAUAGUGAUGUGUUUGUGUGUCAAGUUGACAAGGGGUCAAUUGUACUGUCUGGUUUUGUGUGUCAACUUGACAGAAGCUGGAGUUAUCACAGAAAAAGGAGCCUCAGUUGUGGAAAUGCCUUCAUGGGACCCAGCUGUAAGGCAUUUUCUCAAUGAGUGAUUAAGGAGGAGAUGUUUGCUGUGUUCUGUAGCUGCAGAUCUUCAGGCUGUCACUGUCCUCAUCACUGUGGACCAGUGGUGAGGCAGAGACAGAGCAUCAGCAGGAGGAGUCUGGGAAGGAGACAAACGAGAGACAGGAAGGGGCGGGAUUAAGAUCCACACUUCAGAGCACAGCCCUUGCAACACACUGCCUUUUAUAAGGCCCCCCUCGCUAGUUUCUUCCCUCCCCGGUAAUGCCGUUGCAUUAUGAGCCAGCCAAAGGCUCAACACAGGACUUGGAAAAACCUUGUACUUGGCUUUUAAAGACUAUUUUCUACUUAGAAUUUACUACAUGCAUGCUUUGCUAUUCCAAUUCUAUCACUAUCUUUAGGGAAAGCAACACAGUGAGGUGUACUGUGCGCUUUCUUCUCGUGAGAACUGUUUGUUUUAUAACAGCACAAACCAGCUUGACCUGAUGGACUUUAUGGGAAGCAGUGAAGAAAGGCUCUUGAGAAAUGCAGAUAAAGUACACCGUGCCUCAAGUGCAAGGCCAGGCACCUGCAGCUCAGCCUACCAUUAACCCCCUUUGCUUUAAGGCCCUGAGUAGUGCGUCUGCGGCGAGCAGGUCUCAUGAGCUUCUUGUGUCAGUGAGAGAGUGAGUCGGGACUGAGUUGCCAAUGACUUGGGGAGUGAGUGGCUGUGUGGUAGGAAAUCUACAGAUAUACUCCUUGUUGGGCUGUUAAGUUUUUGGGGAUGCCUAGGAAAAUCUAUGUGGGACUUCUUUAGUAUAAAUGAGCAGGUAAUAUAAGAUUAUAAUUGUAUAAGGGUAUCAGGUAAGCAAUGUAAGUAAUAUAGUAGAGGCAAGCAAUUUACAUGAGAUUCCAAGGGCUACAAGAGACAGAACUAUAGCACAGACCUCGAAUGGUAAACAUUGUAUAUAUAGUCAGAAGUGUUCAUUCUUCCCAUGAUCAUGUAUGGAGGAUGUGGGUCUGUGGAAUAUAUGCGAUGCUUUCACGAGGUUUUCUUUUUAGUUCAGCGUCAUAUCUGAUAAAACUGCCUCCAAGGUGUUCCUGUGGACUCUGUGAACGUUUGGGAGGUUUGUGUCUCAAGGGGUUUGCCGAGGUGGACUGUCCUUGAUUUCUUAGAAGUCACUAAUGCCACAGACAGACGGACAACCACAUGGCAGAGUUGGGGGCUUCUCUUCUUUCCUCUUCAGAGGGAAGGGGGGGUUCCAUGCUCUGUGGUUGAUAGUACAGGCUGGGUCUAAAAGCAGGAGGCGUGUGAAUAGGAAAGAAGAGGGCCGGCUGGAGUGGAAAGGGGAUGAGAGGAGGCGUGAAAACGACCAAAAUACACUAUGUACACGGAAAAACCGAUCAAAGCCUUAAAAAGGAAGCUCAAGGUAAUGUUUGGCUGCGUGGUAGGCUUGAGGUCAGCCUAGGUUAGAUAAGACGGGAUGUGUACCAAAGCACGGGGAGAGUGAGGGGGUGGGAAGAAGAUGGGCUUGUUCCCAUGACCUCUGUCAAACAUCUCCACCCCAAACAUCACUGCGUGCACAAUGACAGGUGCUAUAGCAGUUCCAACCAUAUUCCAAUGGAACUAAGCUAGGGACUAAACAUUUAACACAACAGCUUGUGGAAUCGCUUUUGUAGAAAUUCUGUUUUUACACAUUAAAGUGUUCAGUUCCAUUUAGGCAAGUCCUGGGACUGCCCUGGACCUCUGCUCCCACACUGAUUUUUCUCUCCACAGUCCCCCACUAGUUCCAGCUGCACUCUCUGCAUCAGACCCUGCCAGUUUUGAUGUUAAUUUUGCAUCCUGCAACUUUGCUGAAAAUGUUUGUCAGUUUCCUGGAGGAGUAUUUGGUCCUUGUGCAUUGACUCACACCCUCAAAUAAGGACACCUGGAUUUCUUCUUUCUAAUUUGUGUCCCCAUUAUUUCCUUCUCUUGUCUUGGUGACGUGACUAAGACCUCAGACUAUUGAAUGAGUGGAGAAAGUGGACAACCUUGUCUUGUUCCCAAUUUUAGCAGAAAUGGCUUGAGUUUUUCUCAUUUAUUAUAAUGUUGGCUAUUGGUUUAUUAUUAUAGAUAUUAUUGUAUUGAGAUAUGUUCCCGAGGACUUGAGUUCAAUUCCUAGAACCCACUUUUUUUUUUUUUAAAGACUCAGUCUUGGUAUCACAGUUCCUGAGUAGCAGGCCAGCCUGGGUGUGUGGUGAAAUGCUGUCUCAGAAUCCCCUGGUAAUACACAACCCUAACUUGAGUGCCUGGCGCUACAAAGUCAUUUGUGUCAAAAGUGCACCACUCCAGGCACUCUGGUGAGGAGGUGACAGGCAGACAGUGAGAACUGAGGGUGGGAGGAGAGCUGUGACUGCCAUCUUCUGGACACAGCAGGCUAUUGCACUCAUGAGCUCUGUGCAUUACAGGGCUAGCCUAGAUGGUCACAGAUCCAGGGUCAGACCCUCCAUACUUUCUCCUUGAGUGUAUCAAGAUCUUAAACCUACCUUCAACAUGAGGGAGGUCUAGCCAAGGUGCCAAAAAGGAGCCACGUGUGUGGAGAGGAGGACACUGGGAAGGUAUUGAUCAAAGAGCAUUAUGCUUGUCUCAUUCUCUAGGUUUGCAAAAGGCAGUCCAGAGAAAGAGACUGUGAGCACCAGGAGGAGGGGCCAGGAGGACCCACCAUGCGCAGAGAGGGCCUCAUAUAGUCUGGCCUUGAACUUGCUGCCAUGAAAGAUGACUUCAAACUCCCAAUUCUUCUGCCUCCAACUCCCAAGAUGGGAAUCACAUUCAUGUACCCCUAGGCAGGGCUCUAUGCAGUGGCUCCAAUUCCCAGAGACCUCACAAGGGUCUUCUCCAGCUCCUGCCAUCCCACAGAGGAGUAGACAGACAGGAGAAGCUGGCUCUCCCAGCUACAGAGACUCAGGUGGAGCUGCACCCAGCCCCCUUACCCCAUGAGGUAAAUUGACUCUGAUGGCAAAGAUGGUCUCUAACCAGACAAUGCAGGAGCUCUGCUGUUGUCCAGAUGAACAUGGCCUGGGCAGAUGGUGGCCGGAACACCUGUGAGAAGGCUCUCAGAGCUGGGCGAGCCAUGGCUGAGGGGCACGACUGUGCAGGUGACUUUUCCAGGGGUGCGAUGAAAGGUGCAUGGAGACAGUGUGAGGAGGACCUAGACUGCCACCCUGAGAUCUGCAGAAGAUCUGAGAGGGAAGACUGCAAGAAAGGCAGGACUUGGGGGAGGCUCAGAAGGCAAUAGGGGACUGAGGAGAAGGCUUAAUCAGAAAAGCACUCAACCUCAGGAGCCUGAAGAUUGAGUCUGGAUCUCUGAGUGUUACAGAAAAGCCAGGCACCAUGUCUAACCUGGCCCAUGUGGCAACAUUUCUGGCCAUGGAGAGACCUUGUCUCAGAAAUUGGAAGGUGCCCGAAAAGCAACAUCCGAGUUUGUCCUCUGACCUCCAUGACUACAUGCUGGGCACAUGUGCUCCCAUGCCCACAACAAUGCACACCACCAAAUGGUAAAGAGCACAACUGCUUGGGUCACACAGAGGAGUGAGGGGAGAAGUGGCUGGGAAGUAGACACUGCAGUGCUCAGCCUUGUGCUGCAGAAUGAACCGACAGAGUCAUCCCUCUGGGGCAUGGACCUUCCCUCCUCCCACCUGCAGCCCAGCCUCCUCACCCCUGUCUCCUGGAAGAGGCUGUGCUGAGAGGCUCGCAGGCUGUGCAGCAGUAUAGCCAGUGAAGGAUCCCUCCACUGGGUGUGGUGCAGGCACAGAGGUAGGGAUUGUCUUGUGCCUGAUUGGUUGAGAAGUGUAGCACAAAGCUAGAGUAUGGAGUAAUUGGGGGUGGGGCGGGACAUAGACUGGCAGAAGGAAUAUAGAACCCUUUCUUCAAAUAUGCCAGCUGUCCUCAUUGGGAGUUCAAGACCAGUGUGAUCCAUAUACUAAAACAGGAAUGGAGUUGUCGAGCUGCAUAUGGGGUGUCUUACCAGAAAGCAAACGGGAAGAUCCACCUGAGAGAACACCUGCAUGGUACUAUCACAGAAAAAUUCCAGUCCCCAUUUGGGACAACCCAUCUGCACUUUUAGUCAGGGAGGCCUGAGGCUUCCAAAGCAGAACAGUAUACAUUUUCCCCCCUAAACUUUGUGAAAUCCUGACAAACCCCCCAUCGGUUCCUGGAGCCAUGUAAAUGUAGAUAAAGAGAAAUGACUCCAGAGUUGUCCUCUGACCUCAAGAAAGCAUCCCCUCCCCAAGGCCUCUCUUCCCGAGUACCAGGACUGCAGGACUGAGCCAGCACACCCAGCAAGCCAUUUGUUUUUUUGUCUUCUGGAGAGUUACCUAAUUGCCACAGGCCUCAGUGAAAACAAAGGAGAAGAUAUUAGCCACCUUCUAACCCUAAAACAUCAUGAAGCCCAGGACACUUCCCCACACUUCAUCACUGAAUCUCCUCAUCCCAUGAUUCAAAAACACUAUUUAAAUUCUGUGUUUACCUCAGCCAAGAAUAUAUACACAUAGACAAAGUUCAUCCCAGAGCUAGUAAGUGAGCGAGGCCUGAGGGGGCUGUGCCUCGGGACAAUGAACAAUGGCAAGAACAGAAAUGGCCUCCUGUGUCCCACCUCCUUCCUCAGGCCCUCUGCCUGCUGCCCCAGGACUGCAGAGCCCACAGAAUGGGUGCCAUUGUGCUUUGUCUGGUGCCAGCCUGGAACAGCUGAAGGCUGAGGGGGAAAUCCCACAUGCACUAGGAGAAAAUUUCCACUCGUUGCACUGUCUUGCUGCCUCAGGCUAGCUAGGCACAUUCAACUUCCACAGGAACUCCAGAUUCUCCAGGUCUCCUUCCUGGAGUUGCUGUCAGUGCCCCAGUGCUGGGAAAUCCAGAGGAGGGAUCUGCCUCAAGCCUGAGCACACCUAGCAAGACCUGUGUGCAGAAACGUUUCCAGAGUCCUGUGCUUAUGGGUCUCUAUUUUUCUUGUUUUUUUUUUUUUGUUUUUGGUUUUUUUUUUUAGAAGACUAUUUUCUCUGUGUUCAGCCUGCGUGUAGGUAUGUGCAUUCCUGGUGACAGCUGAGGGUCCCAGAGGGAGUUAGAUCCCCAGGAACUAGGGAGUACAGGGCAGUGUGAGUUCUGAGAUCCAAACUCUGGUCCUCACAAGUGAGCCCAAUUGUCAGCACCAAGCCUUCCUUAGAGGCCACACGCACACUGUCUUCAAAGUAAAUGGUGCUCUGGAGAGCACUGCAAAGCAAAAGGGUUUCUUUCUCCCGAUCUGUUUAUCUGGGAGCAUGGACAAGUGAUGACCUUGGAUGCUCAGCCCAGUCCUGUACCAACAGAGCAACCGCUCCUAAAGCUCUGCACUGGGCAGCAGCGUGGUGAGCGGCAGCAGGGGAGGGAUAUCUGUGUCUCCAGGGCCAGCUCUAAUGUGAAGAGAAAUCAGCUCUGUCUUCACCAAGGCCGGACCAGCCAGCAGCAGGGGAGAGCAUGGUAGGGAAGGGCAGAAUGGAAGAAGUGGAAAGAAGAGGGUUUCUGGGGCGGGAGCGGGUGGAAUGGGAGUAUGCGCAGAGAGGACACCUACUGCUGGACUUCCUGUACUCAUGUGGUCGGAGACAUCCACCGGGCCAGUGGUAAGAACACGGCGUGCUGUAGUUAGGGUUGGUUGUCAGGAUGGCUCCCAUGUAAGAUCCAUUUGUUGAGUGUUGACUGCCGAGAUGGGUGAGAGCUCAUCUUUCUCAGGCAGGAAUGACUGACGACCUUGGAACACCAGCUCGGUUCAUAAAGAAAAGUUCAGUGUUGACUUCAGCUUCGAACACCGUCCUAGCUGUUGUUCUCGGGGAGUCAACAGGUGGCCUUAGCGGGGUGGAUGUGUCUAGACAACUGAACCAUGAAGCUGGAUGCCAUCUGGAACUCUGAAAAGGAUUCAAGGCCCAGGGAGGAACAAACUGCUUCCUAUAUAUGUGUGCCCAUAGAUGAGUGCUGCUCUCCCCAGAUCGGAGAAGCUUCUUUUCCUAAAUAUGUGUGUCCAUGGAUGAGUGCUGCUUUCCCAGAUCGGAGAAGCUGCUUCUGCUCAGGGAGUGGUUAAUGUAUAGAUUCGUUACUUGUUAAAGGGUUGAGAACAAAUAUUGACUGAUAAGCCCCAAAUGAGACAUCUCUCUCUCUCUCUCUCUCUCUCUCUCUCUCUCUCACACACACACACACACACACACACACACACACACACACGCACACACACGCACACACACGCACACACACGCACACACAUGCACACACCUCACCAUUCAGGGUGCAUGUUGUAAAAUGGCACAGAAACAAUGUAAGAGAUGGAUGCUGGGGAGGAGUGCUGUGACAGCCUCUCUUCUGCACAGGUAGAAGCCACUGCACUCAUGAAAGCCCAGCAGCCGUGGUUACUUCCACUAAAAUCCCACAAGGUGGAGCCCUUCCGAAUCCCAGCA
RNA transcript from Rattus norvegicus (Norway rat), 6943 nucleotides. RefSeq lists it as uncharacterized. NCBI's taxonomy places the organism in Eukaryota, Metazoa, Chordata, Mammalia, Rodentia, Muridae. The record is from RefSeq and is a predicted model, not a curated record.